Bos taurus (domestic cattle) is the source of this 2033-nucleotide long non-coding RNA. NCBI's taxonomy places the organism in Eukaryota, Metazoa, Chordata, Mammalia, Artiodactyla, Bovidae. The record is from Ensembl.
GCGGGGGAACCGUGCGGACGUGGUCCGAAGGGCGACUGGCCGUCGGAGCCGAGAAAGGUAAAAUAGGAGCUCUGAACUGGCCACACCCGCUGCGGCCGCCAGGGGCACGUUCGGGUCUAGCUGAUUCUCGCCGGCAUCCCGUGCCCUCGGAGCCGCCCCCGGAGUGGCGGGAUCGACCUGUCUUCCUUCGGCCUUACGGGGGGCGGGUUCGGGGGGUGGCGGUUCACGCAACCCCAGCCGCCCGGGGAUGCCCCGCAAUCGGGGGGCGGGCAGGGGAGCGGCGGGCGGCUGGUUCGGGACACGCGGCGCCCCGAGACUACCUGACCCCGCACGUCGGACUCCCUGCCUCUCCUCGGACGCACGGUUCCCCCCUCGCCCCCCGCCCGCGAGCAAACCGGGGGUGGGAAGUGACUUCAACGAGGUAGAAGUUCAGCUGGACCGAAAGAAGGGCGAGAAGUUCCGCUUGCGAGCCACCUCGGCGGUGAAGCGGAAUGAGUAAUCCCCACGCCGGCCUGUCUCACUUCCUCCUGCGCGCUGGGCGCUCACCUGCUGUCACCUCGGCCGCCUCCGCCCCCAGGCCGCGCCCUCCUCCCUGCGGCCACGUCCGCCCUGCGGCCUCCCACCCCCUAGUACAUCGGCCAGAUCCGAGGCCCCCAGACUUAAGGUGUUAACAGGCCACAAUUUAGUAUCUGGGUGGGCAGCGGUCGCUGUGCAGAAACUUAUGGCGUGAAACGAGGGCUGGCAGGUAUGGUCUUGGCAGGUGAUGGAUGGCGAUUUUAUCUCGAACUGCGUACAAGUUCAGGGAUUUCUGAAAGACCACGUAGAUACCAGCACAAAUACCAAGAAGGUCACGUCUUCAAUAUUCAGUAGAGACUUCGCUCUCCCCUCCUCCCCUCCUUCAAACGAGGAAAUGUCUUUGGGACCAACUUGAGGGAAUACAACUGAGCUGUGUUGCGAAUAAUAAAGAGUUAUGAAUGAACAUUGUAAGAGAUGAUAGAUAAAGAAGUUGAGAAGACUGAAACGUCACAACGUAUUAGAAGUAACAGUCAACCUAGCACAGUGCUGUCACAGUGCUGGGUGAGGCUAUAAAUGCCUAAUUUUGUCCCCAGCCUCAAGAAGCUUGCAGGAUUGUGGGAUAAACAAGUUGACAAAGAGGCUGCUGCACAAAUGUCUGUGAGAGACACCUAAAGUCACCUGGAGUCAAGGAAGUCUGGAAGAAGUGAUGAAAUUUGUCAGGAGGAGGAGAGAAGUGUGUUAAAGACGAAAGUCACAACAUAGGCAGAAAUCUCCAGAUGAAAGUACUGUAUUGUGGAGCAGAGGUGGGGGGAGGUGGCAAGUCCAGUAGAAUGAAUGCAUCGAAUAACAAAACUCACAUGUUCCAGAAGAGGCUGCAGAGGUGGGUGGGCAGGAAACAGAUCCUAUGAAGAUGCUAAGGUUUUACAGUGACGAGUUGGAGCCAUGGAAAGGUUUUUUUUUAAAUCAAAAGUGUCCAUGUUGUACAUGAUGUUAAUUAGUCUUCUGGGUGUGGGGGAUGAGGGGGUGAGCAGAACAGCAAACAUCAAGAGAAUUUUAAAAGUUUUUUUUUUUCCUCUUGAAUAAUCAUUUACAAAGGAAUAACUGAGCAAGUAAAAGCAAUACAGGCUGUGACUAUCCAAACGAAGCACAGAUGAAAGGUAACAUUUCCAGAUUAUAUUAACAAGUAGUAUAAUAAUAUGAAAAGCAAUGUAAAGCAUAAUUAUCAUUUCUAAUGUAAACAUCAUAUAUAGUGUUUAUAUUAGUAGUAGAGUUGUUUCAGGUUAUACAUUCUUGCAGUGGUCUUACUAGCUCCUAAUACUGCCUUAGUACAUGGUAGGACCUCAAAAUUAUGUAUUAAAUGAAUAAAUAGUUUUUGAAAGGUUCUCCGAUGUAUCUUUUAAUACUUGCUUUUUUCCCCACUAUCACAUUUACUACAGCCCAACUCAUAAAAGCUCACAUCCUCUCCAUUCAAAUCCUGGUGUCUUCCAGGUUACCUCACAUAUUCUCAGGAAGGCAGG